RNAcentral lists this ribosomal RNA (207 nucleotides) under uncultured bacterium. RNAcentral describes it as "partial 16S ribosomal RNA". It matches the Rfam family "Bacterial small subunit ribosomal RNA", at positions 568 to 774 of the family's 1533-position model. The record is from RNAcentral.
UGCGUAGGCGGCCGCUUAAGUAGGGUGUGAAAUGUCCCGGCUCAACCGGGGAAUGGCGCUCUAAACUGGGUGGCUCGAGUGAGAUAGAGGUGUGCGGAACUUCCGGUGGAGCGGUGAAACGUGUUGAUAUCGGAGGGAACACCAUUGGCGAAAGCGGCACACUGGGUCUUAACUGACGCUGAGGCACGAAAGCCAGGGGAGCAAACG